GAGUUUGAUCGUGGCUCAGGACGAACGCUGGCGGCGCGCCUAACACAUGCAAGUCGAACGGACGAAGAGGUGCUUGCACCUCUGAGUUAGUGGCGGACGGGUGAGUAACACGUGAGCAACCUGCCUUACAGAGGGGGAUAACGUCCUGAAAAGGACGCUAAUACCGCAUAAAGUCAAGAUGUGGCAUCGCAUCAUGACCAAAGGAGCAAUCCGCUGAAAGAUGGGCUCGCGUCUGAUUAGCUAGUUGGAGUGGUAACGGCACACCAAGGCGACGAUCAGUAGCCGGACUGAGAGGUUGAACGGCCACAUUGGGACUGAGACACGGCCCAGACUCCUACGGGAGGCAGCAGUGGGGAAUAUUGGGCAAUGGGGGAAACCCUGACCCAGCGACGCCGCGUGAGGGAUGAAGGUUUUCGGAUUGUAAACCUCUGUCUUCGGGGACGAAAAAUGACGGUACCCGAGGAGGAAGCCACGGCUAACUACGUGCCAGCCGCCGCGGU
Molecule: ribosomal RNA, 500 nt
Filed under: uncultured bacterium
Lineage: Bacteria
Description: bacterial SSU rRNA
Rfam family: Bacterial small subunit ribosomal RNA
Source: RNAcentral